Molecule: long non-coding RNA, 1086 nt
Organism: Lagenorhynchus albirostris (white-beaked dolphin)
Lineage: Eukaryota; Metazoa; Chordata; Mammalia; Artiodactyla; Delphinidae
Exons: 3
Source: RefSeq, a predicted model, not a curated record
UCACAUGACUAAGUUCUGGCCAAUGGGAUGUGAGCAGACCUAAUAGUUGCCACUUCCAAGCCAGAUUCAUAAAACCUGCGUAAGUCUUGACUCUCUGCUUUCCACCAUCUGCCAGCCAGAUGCAGAGCAUCCAGCAGCAUCUUCUGAAGCCCUAGAAAAUGGCAGAGCCGCAAAAUGGAAGAAGCCUGGAUUCCCCAAAUCACUGUGUGGAAGGCUCCUACCAACCAGCCACACUGAAAUGUUAAUGAAGUCAGCUGCAUCCGGAGGUUCCACAAAGGCUGAGAACUCUACCAGCUGCAACCGAGCAGUGCCCAGAGCCCGAGCCUGCCAGGCUGGGGGUGAUGGGGCAGGUGGGGGCAAAGCAGGAGCCAAAAACAUUCCCAAUUGAUGAAUCUGUGGAACCUGAGAGCUCUCUUUCACCAAUGUGAGUACUUAGGACCACAUCAGCAUGGACUUCUGGAAGCCAUCUUUGCUACCAGGUGGGCAGAGCCUGCCUGGGAAUGAAGCCACCACAGAGGAAAGCAGACCCAAGCAAGUCCUGAUGCUACCAUUUGAGCCCCUGGAUCCAGCCAUGCCUGAAGCCAUAACUCCUGAAAUAACAGUUACCUGAACCAAUGAAUUCCCCCCCCUUUUUUUUGGUCAUCUAGCUUGAUUUGGGUUUCUGUCAUGUGCAGCUAAAGAAUCUUGAUUAAUAUAUCAAUAUCCCUGAUGUCCUUUAGGUCAGCAAGUGACAGACCAUAAACCCAGUAGAUCUGGCUACAGAGGCCAGGCUCUUAACCACUAUAAAUUCUGUGACUCAUCUUUCCAUACCCCCACAGGCCCUGCCUGAGAGCUGGAUCUCAGUAAGAAUGUAUCCCCUGAUCAAUGGAAGGUUGAAGGAAAGGCAAUCAGGGCUGAGAAGAGAGAGGGGAAAACAAGAGAGGGUGCGGAACCGGCUCUUACCUGGGAGGUCAGUAGAUGGAGGAGUCAGUGACAAGGAGAACGGUGUCUGCGAGAAUGGCUUCACACUGAGGGAGAAAGGAAACUGAGGGUCAGUAAGAAGGAAAGAUGCUAAUCGUACCAUCUAACAUUUACUGAGGGGCCAUG